RNAcentral lists this ribosomal RNA (177 nucleotides) under uncultured bacterium. RNAcentral's name for it is "partial 16S ribosomal RNA". It matches the Rfam family "Bacterial small subunit ribosomal RNA", at positions 1325 to 1500 of the family's 1533-position model. The record is from RNAcentral.
GCUGGAAUCGCUAGUAAUCGCGAAUCAGGAUGUCGCGGUGAAUACGUUCCCGGGUCCUUGUACACACCGCCCGUCACACCAUGGGAGUCGGAAAUGCCCGAAGUCAGUGACCUAACCGAAAGGGAGGAGCUGCCGAAGGUGGAGCCGGUAACUGGGGUGAAGUCGUAACAAGGUAAC